UACGAAGGGGGCUAGCGUUGCUCGGAAUCACUGGGCGUAAAGCGCACGUAGGCGGCUUUUUAAGUCAGGGGUGAAAUCCUGGAGCUCAACUCCAGAACUGCCUUUGAUACUGAGAAGCUUGAGUCCGGGAGAGGUGAGUGGAACUGCGAGUGUAGAGGUGAAAUUCGUAGAUAUUCGCAAGAACACCAGUGGCGAAGGCGGCUCACUGGCCCGGUACUGACGCUGAGGUGCGAAAGCGUGGGGAGCAAAAGGG
Molecule: ribosomal RNA, 253 nt
Filed under: uncultured bacterium
Lineage: Bacteria
Description: partial 16S ribosomal RNA
Rfam family: Bacterial small subunit ribosomal RNA
Source: RNAcentral